CUACACAUGCAGUCGAACGGUAACAGGAAGCAGCUUGCUGCUUUGCUGACGAGUGGCGGACGGGUGAGUAAUGUCUGGGAAACUGCCUGAUGGAGGGGGAUAACUACUGGAAACGGUAGCUAAUACCGCAUAACGUCGCAAGACCAAAGAGGGGGACCUUCGGGCCUCUUGCCAUCGGAUGUGCCCAGAUGGGAUUAGCUAGUAGGUGGGGUAACGGCUCACCUAGGCGACGAUCCCUAGCUGGUCUGAGAGGAUGACCAGCCACACUGGAACUGAGACACGGUCCAGACUCCUACGGGAGGCAGCAGUGGGGAAUAUUGCACAAUGGGCGCAAGCCUGAUGCAGCCAUGCCGCGUGUAUGAAGAAGGCCUUCGGGUUGUAAAGUACUUUCAGCGGGGAGGAAGGCGAUAAGGUUAAUAACCUUGUCGAUUGACGUUACCCGCAGAAGAAGCACCGGCUAACUCCGUGCCAGCAGCCGCGGUAAUACGGAGGGUGCAAGCGUUAAUCGGAAUUACUGGGCGUAAAGCGCACGCAGGCGGUCUGUCAAGUCGGAUGUGAAAUCCCCGGGCUCAACCUGGGAACUGCAUUCGAAACUGGCAGGCUAGAGUCUUGUAGAGGGGGGUAGAAUUCCAGGUGUAGCGGUGAAAUGCGUAGAGAUCUGGAGGAAUACCGGUGGCGAAGGCGGCCCCUGGACAAAGACUGACGCUCAGGUGCGAAAGCGUGGGGAGCAAACAGGAUUAGAUACCCUGGUAGUCCACGCCGUAAACGAUGUCGACUUGGAGGUUGUGCCCUUGAGGCGUGGCUUCCGGAGCUAACGCGUUAAGUCGACCGCCUGGGGAGUACGGCCGCAAGGUUAAAACUCAAAUGAAUUGACGGGGGCCCGCACAAGCGGUGGAGCAUGUGGUUUAAUUCGAUGCAACGCGAAGAACCUUACCUACUCUUGACAUCCAGAGAACUUACCAGAGAUGCAUUGGUGCCUUCGGGAACUCUGAGACAGGUGCUGCAUGGCUGUCGUCAGCUCGUGUUGUGAAAUGUUGGGUUAAGUCCCGCAACGAGCGCAACCCUUAUCCUUUGUUGCCAGCGGUCCGGCCGGGAACUCAAAGGAGACUGCCAGUGAUAACUGG
RNAcentral lists this ribosomal RNA (1124 nucleotides) under Enterobacter hormaechei. Its description in RNAcentral is "bacterial SSU rRNA". It matches the Rfam family "Bacterial small subunit ribosomal RNA", at positions 49 to 1166 of the family's 1533-position model. The record is from RNAcentral. Lineage: Bacteria; Pseudomonadati; Pseudomonadota; Gammaproteobacteria; Enterobacterales; Enterobacteriaceae.